GACGAACGCUGGCAGCGUGCUUAACACAUGCAAGUCGAACGGAAAGGCCCUGCUUUUGUGGGGUGCCCGAGUGGCGAACGGGUGAGUAACACGUGAGUAACCUGCCCUUGACUUUGGGAUAACUUCAGGAAACUGGGGCUAAUACCGGAUAGGAGCUCCUGCUGCAUGGUGGGGGUUGGAAAGUUUCGGCGGUUGGGGAUGGACUCGCGGCUUAUCAGCUUGUUGGUGGGGUAGUGGCUUACCAAGGCUUUGACGGGUAGCCGGCCUGAGAGGGUGACCGGCCACAUUGGGACUGAGAUACGGCCCAGACUCCUACGGGAGGCAGCAGUGGGGAAUAUUGCACAAUGGGCGGAAGCCUGAUGCAGCAACGCCGCGUGCGGGAUGACGGCCUUCGGGUUGUAAACCGCUUUCGCCUGUGACGAAGCGUGAGUGACGGUAAUGGGUAAAGAAGCACCGGCUAACUACGUG
RNAcentral lists this ribosomal RNA (468 nucleotides) under uncultured bacterium. Its description in RNAcentral is "partial 16S ribosomal RNA". It matches the Rfam family "Bacterial small subunit ribosomal RNA", at positions 28 to 507 of the family's 1533-position model. The record is from RNAcentral.